UGUCGGCGCAGCUCCUCUUGGGCACGAC
This 28-nucleotide small RNA is filed under the name Bombyx mori (domestic silkworm). RNAcentral describes it as "ovarian small RNA-35737". The record is from RNAcentral. Lineage: Eukaryota; Metazoa; Arthropoda; Insecta; Lepidoptera; Bombycidae.